Molecule: ribosomal RNA, 246 nt
Filed under: uncultured bacterium
Lineage: Bacteria
Description: partial 16S ribosomal RNA
Rfam family: Bacterial small subunit ribosomal RNA
Source: RNAcentral
AGAUGGCGACCGGCGCACGGGUGAGUAACACGUAUCCAACCUGCCGAUAACUGGGGAUAGCCUUUCGAAAGAAAGAUUAAUACCCGAUGGUAUAAUCAGACCGCAUGGUUUGAUUAUUAAAGAAUUUCGGUUAUCGAUGGGGAUGCGUUCCAUUAGGCAGUUGGUGAGGUAACGGCUCACCAAACCUUCGGUGGAUAGGGGUUCUGAGAGGAAGGUCCCCCACAUUGGAACUGAGACACGGUCCAA